This 1031-nucleotide ribosomal RNA is filed under the name Byssolophis sphaerioides. RNAcentral describes it as "SSU rRNA". It matches the Rfam family "Eukaryotic small subunit ribosomal RNA", at positions 81 to 1120 of the family's 1831-position model. The record is from RNAcentral. Lineage: Eukaryota; Fungi; Ascomycota; Dothideomycetes; Pleosporales.
GUGAAACUGCGAAUGGCUCAUUAAAUCAGUUAUCGUUUAUUUGAUAGUACCUUACUACUUGGAUAACCGUGGUAAUUCUAGAGCUAAUACAUGCUAAAAACCCCGACUUCGGGAGGGGUGUAUUUAUUAGAUAAAAAACCAAUGCCCUUCGGGGCUCUUUGGUGAUUCAUGAUAACUUAACGGAUCGCAUGGCCUUGCGCCGGCGACGGUUCAUUCAAAUUUCUGCCCUAUCAACUUUCGAUGGUAAGGUAUUGGCUUACCAUGGUUUCAACGGGUAACGGGGAAUUAGGGUUCGAUUCCGGAGAGGGAGCCUGAGAAACGGCUACCACAUCCAAGGAAGGCAGCAGGCGCGCAAAUUACCCAAUCCCGACACGGGGAGGUAGUGACAAUAAAUACUGAUACAGGGCUCUUUUGGGUCUUGUAAUCGGAAUGAGUACAAUUUAAACCCCUUAACGAGGAACAAUUGGAGGGCAAGUCUGGUGCCAGCAGCCGCGGUAAUUCCAGCUCCAAUAGCGUAUAUUAAAGUUGUUGCAGUUAAAAAGCUCGUAGUUGAACCUUGGGCCUGGCUGGCCGGUCCGCCUCACCGCGUGUACUGGUCCGGCCGGGCCUUUCCUUCUGGAGAGCCGCAUGCCCUUCACUGGGUGUGUCGGGGAACCAGGACUUUUACUUUGAAAAAAUUAGAGUGUUCAAAGCAGGCCUUUGCUCGAAUACGUUAGCAUGGAAUAAUAGAAUAGGACGUGCGGUCCUAUUUUGUUGGUUUCUAGGACCGCCGUAAUGAUUAAUAGGGAUAGUCGGGGGCAUCAGUAUUCAAUUGUCAGAGGUGAAAUUCUUGGAUUUAUUGAAGACUAACUACUGCGAAAGCAUUUGCCAAGGAUGUUUUCAUUAAUCAGUGAACGAAAGUUAGGGGAUCGAAGACGAUCAGAUACCGUCGUAGUCUUAACCGUAAACUAUGCCGACUAGGGAUCGGGCGAUGUUUCUAUCUUGACUCGCUCGGCACCUUACGAGAAAUCAAAGUUUUUGGGUUCUGGGGG